This is a long non-coding RNA of Bubalus bubalis (water buffalo), 1100 nucleotides long. RefSeq lists it as uncharacterized. The record is from RefSeq and is a predicted model, not a curated record. NCBI's taxonomy places the organism in Eukaryota, Metazoa, Chordata, Mammalia, Artiodactyla, Bovidae. The transcript has 4 exons.
GCGAGACAGCUAUUCCCAUUUCCCCAAGUAGCAAAGGCCAGAACUUACCCAACUCGUGGUCUCUUAAGACUUGACCACAGAGAGCUCGGUUACCCAUUUGCUAGACUGCUGGGUCACGGAAGACAGAGCCAGGGGAGAGCUGACAGGCCUCCCAGGACUGUGAAAGUCCCUUUAGGGGCAUCUAGACCCACUCAGGUGACCUGCUUCUGCUCUGGAGGCCUCUGAGGCCAUCCGGGCUCCAGGGCUUUCUGAGGGCUCAGCUCCUGGGGAAAUGGCAUCCAGUUCAAGUUCGCUGUCUGCCCGGCCUCACUCUCUGGCUUUCUCACAGUCGUGUCUCCAAGAGUCCUUCCCAUUGACGCUGGGCUGUCCAUCUCUGUGCACAGCCUGUUUCCCAGAAAUCCAUCCUGAGACACAAGGACAUGCUUGGAGAAGAUGACAGAGUGGCUGAGGAUCCAGCCCCUGUGGGGAAGGGAACUGGGGGUCGACUUGGACCACCUUGGUGAGGAGAGUGUCUGUGCAGACCAUUAGACGCCAAGGUCCAUGAAAGCAGGGGACAUACAGGUUGUUUGCUCCAAGACCCAGCAGUGUCUGGCUACAUACAGCAGACUCUCAACACAUGUUUGAUGAGAGAAUGAACAAGAAUUUGUGUUUGUUUUAAAUAUUCAUGAGUCAGGUUUGGACAGUAAUAUGAACUGAAAUGCCAUUGCCCGUGGAAGAGCUGCAGCUUGUCUCUGUGAGUACUGAUCGUCCCGUGCAUGCUGAUUUUAUUAAGAUUUUUUUUUAAUGUGGAUCAGUUUUGAAGUCUUUAUUGAAUUUGUUACAACAUUCCUUGUUUAUGUUUUGAAUUUUUCGCCUGGAGGCCAAAUGUGAAAUCUUAGCUCCCCAACCAGGGAUGGAGCCUGCACCCACGGCAUUGGAAGGAGGAAUUUCAACCACUGGACUGCCAGGGAAGUCCCUGGUGCAUGUUUAAAUCAAUUACAAUUAUAAUCCAUUUUGGGGGGAUCAUCCAUGAUUCUUUUUUUAAGUGCUGGGCCAGAUAACCAAGGGAUUAAUGUAUUUUCCAGUGGAUGUGAAUUCAUUAAAGGUACAAGAUUAUUUUA